This is a long non-coding RNA of Fundulus heteroclitus (mummichog), 504 nucleotides long. RefSeq lists it as uncharacterized. The record is from RefSeq and is a predicted model, not a curated record. The transcript has 2 exons. NCBI's taxonomy places the organism in Eukaryota, Metazoa, Chordata, Actinopteri, Cyprinodontiformes, Fundulidae.
CAGAUGGAAGACGCCAGAGCCUUAAACCAGUCGUGCACUCACCUGCCUUGACGCUCCGUCCGAAGAAUCACCUCCAGAAUCACUAGGCUCAGAUUUUGCUCUGGUGCUCCCCCUCUUGUUCCUUGGAAGUUACCCAGCCGGGCUUGAGGUCCCCCUCCCGGAUUCUGGUGGUCCCGCUUCAACUCUGGUUAAUCCAUCUGUCACUCGACCCAGCGGAGGCUUGCUCCGGAUCCCUCGUCAGCCGCUGCUGCUGCCCUCCAGCCACUAGCCACCUAGUCCAUCUAGAGCAGGCUCACAGGGUUCCCUCGGCACUUACUCCUCCCCGGUUAGGUCCGCCCGGCUAAUGGUAAGCAGAGCACGUUCUGACAAUUACUGGAUUCUAGCCGUCGAUCUAACAACUCCGUUCUCUUGCAGUCUCCUCCGCUUCGACGUUCAGACCUCGCUGCUGCAGUCAUUAUUUUGUCCUUGUUAUUUGUACAUUUCCUAAUAAACUGUUUAAAGCUA